GUCUUUUCUUGAAGUAAGAUUUUAGGAAGAUCCAUGUGAUGCAAAAUAGAUGACAUCAAUGCAGCUUUGGAUGAAAUUGAGAGAAGGACCCAUCCGCUCCAAGGUUCCAGUGUUCCUUGGCAACCACCAGAAAUGACUUCACAGAAGCCUAAACCCAGGGCCAAUUGAUCUUCAAAGACCCCUUACACUCUGUUCUUGGUUGUUCCAGCUUCAUCCUGGUCUGAAUCUCCGUCCUAUGAAUUGCCUUUCUGGGUUUCCUUCCUCAAGAGAAAAAUGGGGUUACUAAUGCCAACAGGAAGAAAUGAUAAGAAAACUAAACAUGGAGGUAGAAGAAUUGUUCCAACCCUGAGACUGCCAUUUAAUGAGUGUGUGAACUGGAGAAAGUCACUUACUAUCUCUCAGUCUGAAUUUACUCAUCCUACGACAUGAACUUGGCAAGGUACUAGUGAAAACUAGACUCCCAAGUCCAGCACUAGAAUUAGAAAAUCAGAAGGAGGAUGUGUGGGACAGGAGUUGAGGGACACAAAGAGUUGUAGCGUCCAUGCUACUUUUUGUUAUAACGUCAGAUCCUGGACAGAGCGGCAGCCAGAGAGUCUGAUCAGCCCCGGGUGUGGGAUCGGAGGCUGGCUGUAUCCUCUCUACUGAAUUUCAUUCAUCUGCGGCUUUUGAGCAAAAGGUGAAGCCUGAGAACAUGAACAAGAGGCCUAGAGCUGGGACAAUUGUUUUCCUCCCUCAACAUUGAUGAUAGAUAUUAUUUCUUUUGCCUCCUAAACCUCAGCUAGCAGUGGUUGACUUUUAAUAAAAAUGCAUGGUAGUUUUCAUCAGAGAAGCGAUUGACAAGGCUCCAGUCAACGUUUGUCUGGGAAGCUGCUUUGUGGUCCUUUUCCAUUAGGCCCCCACAGCAGUUAAAAUGUUAAGCUCCCUCUAGCUUCUGAAUUGGUUGCCCCUCCUCCCAAUUUGUAGCCUCUAAACUCUGCCUCAAUGUUUAUAUCUCAGUUCAAAUGGUACUUCCUCCCGGAAACAGACUUAGUGCCUUCUCCCUCCCAGCUCUUCUUGGUGUAUAGCCCCUUAUAAUAGUUAUGUUUUCUCGUUGUAGUUGUUUAUUUACCUUUCUCUCCUCUACAAUGUAAGGUCCUUGAAGCAGGGAUUUACUUUUCCCUCCUGUGUCCCCAAGGCCUGUCAACGUAUUUGGCAUAAACAUGUGAGCGAUCUUUUACAUACAGUAAUAAAUGAAAAAGUGAAAUAAAGAUUUACACCUUCCACAGCUCAUUGUUUUCUUCACAAAAGAUCUCAGGUGUGACCACCUCAUCUCCUAAUACAUUUCCUGUUAAAUGGUACCACGGAACGCAUCCCUUAUCCACUGAACAAUAUUUAUUGAGCACCUCCUCUGUGCCCAACUCCCCGCCAGGUGCUGGUGAUGCUGUGCUGGAAAAGAUGGGUGCGACCCUGACGUCAAAGACCACGGUCUUGGCCAUAUCUGCCUGGGAAACUCUAUGGCGUGUGGAAUUCCUACGAUAAAAAUGUCUCUUGUAACUUUCUUUUUCUCAUUCUAUGACGGUUCAAUUAUAGUUUUUUUUGUUAUUCCUGACAUAAGAUGAACACUCUCUCCAUUUUCCUGGCACAUGCCUAGCAUCGAUAUUUUCAUGGCAAUAAUGAGCACUCACCAUCUGAGGAAAAAUGGAAGAGGUUUUUAGCUGGCCAUCAGCUAGGGAAUCUCUGCCAGUGGUUUUUUACUUUGCUGGCUCAGAAUUGCCUCUUUCUUCCCUGAAACCACAGAUCAUCCUCUUGUAGAGCUGCUCUGAGCCAUUUGGAGGAGGAAAGAGGAAAGAGUCUGUGAGAGCGAAUACCAGCUCCUCAAAUGAUGCCUAGUUCCAUUUCAAUCAGCUGGUGAGGCCGGUGAGGCACAUAACAGUGGUGCAGAGAGCGCUAAGGAGGAGGCGUCUGGCUCUUGGACGUUGCAACAAGUUAUGGAUGGAAAGUUUCCUCCUGUCUGGGAAUUUUAACUAAAGCCUCCAGCUUAGUCUAACGGCUUUUUAAGUACCACUGCAUUCCAAAGGGAGGCACUAGAUUAGAUACCCACUUCUCCCCUGGCGGCUUGCUAAACAGCAUCUAAACCGUCCUAAAUCGCACUGGUAGUCUGUAAAAGAGAGCAGUAAGGUUUCAACAGAGGGGAGGAGAAGGCUUUUCUUUCAAGAGAACCCAGAGAGCACUGUGAUAUUUUGCUUCUCCUCUUGCUUCCUCCAUUUUUAAUCCAAGCAGUGGGGCUCUUGGAGGUAGACUUGUCGCUAUUGGUUGGUCUGUGAGGGGAAGGUUCAUAUCUCUCUGCAGGCUGGAUGCUCACUGAGCUCAGAUGUCUGCAGGUCUCCAGCCAGAGUAAAGAGACUGGUGGUACAUGUGAGGAUAAAGUUUGAACUCUCCCUCUUCUAAACAGAAGCUGGAUCAGAAAGGGGCUGCACCAUUCACAGAAGCAGGGAACAGGCGCAUGGGCAGCCUGCACUUCAGAGCUUGGUGGGGCGAGGAUAUGUGAGAUUUCUCCUGGACAGAGUGGGUUUAGGCUCAAGUCAUCUUGAAAAAUGCUCACUGCUGUCUGCCACAACAAGGGGAAUAAAAACAGGGAUGCCCUGAAGCGGGCAUGGCUUCAGAAGUUACUGGCAGUUAAGUCUGUAUCAGGUUGGGGAAAGAGUAGCUCAGAGAAACCCACCAAUAAAUGCCUUUAAAAGAUGAUGUCACCAACACGAUGGGCAUUGAAGGGCUGAGGGAGGAAUUCUGAUAGCACCUGGUAAAAGUGAAGUCCUCCGACCCAUUUGCUCUGACUACCCACCUCCUCUCUCCCUUUCUCAACCUUGGGAGAGCCAGAGGGUAGUGAUGGAGCUUAGGAAAGCAAAAGGAUAGACUGUGUCUCCCCUCCCGACUGCAGGUAAAGAGAAUCUCAAGUCAAGCCUGAAUUAUGGAGAGGGAUGAACUUUAAACUGAAUCUAAGAUUAAUUUACAAAAGUUUAGUUUGUACUGGAUUUUAUAAACCCUGAAAGUAACUAAAGAGUGUCAGUACCUUUUUGCAAUGCUGCCAAAUUGGUGUGGAAGGGACAUUGACAAGGGGGAUUUUAAGGCAGUGACGGAAAAGAAAUGAAGCCAUUUCCAGCUUUUACAUCGCUGUGCUCAGCCCUUUCAAUAGCCAUGCAAAUGACUCAAGCCUGGACUUCAAGCUUGAUUCUGGAUCAUUCCUCAGAUAGCGGAGGACUAAGGGGACCACGUGCAGUGUCUGGCCUAUGAGGGUAAAUUGUGUGGCAUAGCAGACACUGUGGGUGACCCACUCAUGUCCCCAUGGCACUUAUCUCACCCAACCAAAGCUUCUCACCUCCAUCUCCAAAAGGUGUUUGUUUUUCUGGGGAACGUCAAUACCACUGAUACCAGUAGAAGUUCCAAACAACACAACGUAAAAGAUUCAUGGUCAAAAAUGUGCCGUGAUCCUGGUGAAACUCUCAGGUUUCAUUAUAGUCCAAUGUCUCAGAAUUUUUCCAUAGAUCGCGGAGUAUUGUGAAUCUGUAAGAGAAGGAUAAGUAUAUGGUGUUUCCCAAACUUAUUUGGCCUAAAAACCUUUUGUUUUCCCCCAGAAAGCAUCCAAAGUGACCAGGAUUCCAUGGAGCCUACCUUGGGAAUACGGGUAGGGGAGAAAGAUUCUUGCCAGGAAGCCAUUGGGUACUCCUUCCCUCCUUUCUGGGGGCUGCCCUUAUUCAGCUAAAACUAUUUUCUGCCUAGUAGUAUUGCAGUCAUUUUAAAGAGGAACAAGCCAUAAGAUGUUGACUCAAGUCCUCAAGUCACAGGUUAGUUGCAAAAGAAGUCAUAGAACCCCAUCCUUGGACUCUUUCCCCUCAAUCUUGCUACCUGAUUAAAGCUUAAGAGUUUUCAACAUAUAUGCCAGAUCCUCAAUUCUGCCAGUGAGUUUAUAUCUUUGCAAAAGUAAAGAUGCGUAGCUGGGUGAGUUUGUAGGUGUGAUAUAAGCCUUAAGUUCCAGUAUCAUGUGCUGCCUUAAUAUCUGGUCAGACAAGGAGGGCUCAUCUGGCCUACUUGCAAAUUCCCAUCCCCACUUGGCUCCCAUGGAUAAGGUCCUCUAACCAAACUGUGUUCCUUGGCAAAGGGGUCAUGCACAGUUCCUGCUUGACCCUAAGAAGUAGGUUUCGGUUCCUGCCAACCCACAGAAUUAUCAAACAAGUCAAUCACAUCCUUCUCUGGGAGCCAGGGGCACAGCACUCUGUUGCCGUGUGCAGUGUCCUCCUCCCCUUGACUGUGAGUCUAAUAAACUGCUCUUGAUGUCACCUGUGCAGCGUCAGGUGUCCUGUGUUUUCCCAUCCCCAUAGCUCUAGGGUGAGAAUUUCUCCACCAUCAACAAGGUGAACAGUAGGUGAUUAAAAUACUGGUUUAUACAAAGUUCAGCCAAUAUUUGAACUUGUGAAUUAGAAGGCAUGUCAGUGACAUACAGAAUCAUAAAAAAAAUUUGUUUCUAGGACUUAGAAUAAAUCCAUGGCUGGUUGUCAUCAUCGGCUGGCUUUAGCACCAUAGACUAGAGGGCACUGGGCAGAUCUGUCCCAACCAGAAUGAUGUUAGUGACUAAAAUGAUUUAAAAUACGUGUUUUGAAGUCAGACUGAAUGGCAUUGAAAUCGCAGCUGUCACUUAAUAGGUGUAUGGACUUUGACAAGUUAUUUAAAUGCUCUCAGUCUCACUUUCACCAACUGUACAAUGGGAAAGAUCAUAAGACCCACAUCACAGAGUUACUAGGAAGAAUAAAUGAUGCCAGGUAAAGCACCUCACAAGGAUGGAGGACAUGGUAAGGGCCCAACAAGUGUCAGCUACAAAACAAGUGUUUAAACUACAAAAAAGUUUCUUAUAGAGAAGUAAAUAUCUCUGCAAGAAGUAACCAUGACACCAUCAUUUGUUUUAACCCAACAUGUGAAUUGACUCAUCAAAGCCUGCAGGUAUAUUUGGAACACUUGAUAAACGUGAAGUUUUUCAGUUGGUGAAGGGAGAGACAGAUAAAGAGGAAUCAUAUGUGUAGACGUGAAAACAUAGUCCGCCUGGAGACAUAGACAUAGAUGUAAAUACAGACAUAGAUUCUGGGAAGAGUAAGUGGUUCCAGAUGGGACCUUGAAGAGCUCUUAUUCCUGGAGUCGUUGGAGGAUAGUGAUUUCACUGGAGUCUUCAAGGUGAAGAGGCUAGAAGAGUAGAUUAUUAGAUCCUUGUUUGAAAGACAGCAGAGAUUUAAGAAAGAGGAUGAAAAAGUGUGCUAAUAGCAAGAAGAUCUUCACAAAUCAUGAUAAUAAAGAAGGGAGGUGGGGGAAUAAAACGAAUUAGAGAGAAAUCCAGCUGAAGCUCUCUCAGGAAGUUCGGAGUACAGGCUCCAGAAGCAGAGGGUUGUGAAGGUAGAAAGGCAGAUAUAGCUUUGGUGGAUUCUUUAGAAUAGAAGCCACAGGGCUACUUGAGCAUGUCAGGGGUUAAGGAGACUUCAAAACAGUGGAAAAAUACAAAGCUGAGAAACAACACAAACACGAAAAGUAGGCAAAGUAGGAAAAAGAGUUUUCUUUUUCAUUAAGAAUCAGUACCUGAUGAAAAUGAACAGAAUUUAUUAUUUUUUAAGAAAGAAUAAUAUUCUCACUUCUGAGAGAGAUAAAAGGGAAAGUGAAAUCAGAAAGACAGAGGGAAUACUAUUUACUAAAACGAUUGUGAUUUAAUGAGAAAGAAUUAAUGAAAUUACUUCCAAUUGUCCAAACAUCCUUUCUAUCUGAACAGCUCAGUUGCUCAUCUCACAGCUCUCAUCUCUGUCUAAUAUACAAGACUCCUGGACUGGCCACACAGCUCUCCAUUAAAUGAUAUUAAUGAUAUUGUUAGGUAAAUAGAACUAACGUUAAGAUGGUCGUGAGAAAUUUCUCUUUGUCUCUAAUACAAAAGAGCCAUGCGGGAAAAGCUAUUCACAUCACAAAUAGUCACCUGUGGGAAAGACUCAACCCUCUACUUCUAAACUAUUAAUCUGCUCGGGUCUGUUUGAUGUUAACGGCCUUCACAACAAAGGCAGGGCUAUUUCACCAUAGAGCCCAUUUAUCAGCUGUGUUUCCUAUGACAUAUUCAGAAUAAAACAAUGGAUUCCAACACGCUAUUAGGUCACUGAUAUGCUGAUUGUAAUAAAUGUUAAAAGUUUGCAAUUCCUUCCGUUUCACUAUUAUAUCAGCUUUUAGGUAUUCAUUUGUGGGGUUUUUUAAAAAAUAUGACACUCAUAAAAAGAAAUCAUUUCUCACAGCAAGGGAAAAUAAAUCUAAAGUGAAAACAGUAAUUUUGUAAUGUUUUCCUAAGAAUUUUGCUAUUCUUUUUCUACAGAUUAAUUCAUACCAGCUUUUAUCUUGUGGUUAAGUACAUAUCUUGUUAUUAAGUACAAUCGAGCAAAGCCCGAAAGCAUUACAAAUAUUAAGAAUUUUGGAAUCCCAACAGACUUCAAAACCUGGUAGAUUAAAUAUGAUUUGGUCAUUGAAUUUAGACUAUUCCUUGAAAACUGUAUGUUGUGAAUUUAAAAUCAUGACAUGAGGCUUUCAGCUCGAGGCCUGGGUAAUGAUAUAUUUUCUUAAUAAUUCGCAAAAUGGUGACUAGGAGUCUUGGAGAAAUUGAUUUAUCUUUCAGAACACAAAACAUAGUCUGGACAAUAAUUUGGCUAUGACUGUUCCCUAAUCUGAAAAAUUGCUAUAUUUACCACACAUUAUAUUCUCCUUCACUUCCUUUAUCGUCUCAAGGAUCCAGAGUUGGUAAGAGGUCAUCUGUUUGAUCGUUCCUUCACUCAGCAGACAUCUAUCAAACCUACUGAGUGCCAGGCACUGGAAUAGGCGUUACCGAUGCUCCCCUCACCCCAAACAAGCAUGCUUAUCCACCUGAGGUCAUCACAUUGAGUUAGGAAAGACAAUUCAAUGUGAUUGACACACCAUUAGCAACCCAGGAGAAGGAAUGGUUAACCCUAUGUAGACGAACCUAGGAAGAUUGCAUAGAGGGGACAGCAUUUAAAUUGGCUGGAGGAGAAAUUCUCCAGUCAGAAAAUAAGGGAAAAGGCAUUCAUUCCAAGCAGAGAAAUGUGCAUGUGUAGUGCCUGGAAGUUUGAAGAGCCGAGCAUUUCAGAGG
This is a long non-coding RNA of Equus caballus (horse), 7150 nucleotides long. NCBI's taxonomy places the organism in Eukaryota, Metazoa, Chordata, Mammalia, Perissodactyla, Equidae. The record is from Ensembl.